GGAUUAGAAAUAAAAAUAAUAGGUAACAAUUUUGCUGAAUACAAUUUUUCAUUUAUUUAAUACAGAAUUCAACCAUAGUUUAAUCAAUUUCGUGUGUUACCUAUAUUUGAAAUAUUGGAUUUAACUAUUUGAUUUGAAGUUUUCUCUAAAACUGUGUAACUCUAUUUAAAUGGAUAAAAUAUUUCAAAUUGAAUCACUAGAAACAUUCCAAAAUGUAUCAGAAAAAAUCUUAACAGAUUUGUAUUAUUCAGGAUCUUCUUCUCUAAAAUCCAACAUUGAAGGAGAUGUGAUUACAGCUGCAAAACAAAAUUUGAUCUCAAUAAUUUCUGAUUGCAAUUUUGAUCUACAAUCAGUUAAAGAUGUAUUUAAUGGCAAGGGAUGGCCAGAAGAAAAAGUUCAAUGCUUACAUGGAUUAAUAGAUAAAUACAAGUCUGAUUUAUUAAAUGCAGCUUUGAAUCAGUACAAUAGCAGUUACUGUGAAACAGUAGUAAAUUUUGACUGGCUAGUCAAAUUCAUUCUUGGUACAAGUGACUUAAAAACUUUAAAAUAUCCACUGCUACAAUUGGUAUUGUCUACAUUACAUAAAAAUGGGAAACAAAAUAAUAUUAUUUACGACAUUCAAAAAGAUAUUUUAUUAAAAAUGAUUCAUGCUUUAGAAUCUAUAAAAUAAAGCGAUUACACUAAA
Long non-coding RNA from Helicoverpa armigera (cotton bollworm), 685 nucleotides. RefSeq lists it as uncharacterized. The transcript is spliced from 2 exons. Lineage: Eukaryota; Metazoa; Arthropoda; Insecta; Lepidoptera; Noctuidae. The record is from RefSeq and is a predicted model, not a curated record.